Molecule: long non-coding RNA, 623 nt
Organism: Thunnus maccoyii (southern bluefin tuna)
Lineage: Eukaryota; Metazoa; Chordata; Actinopteri; Scombriformes; Scombridae
Exons: 3
Source: RefSeq, a predicted model, not a curated record
UUAACCAGUGCUGGUCUGACUGUUGAGCAGAAUUCUACACUCAAAUUUCAGUGCACGGCUUUGUUUGGCUCACUGAUGUCUCCAGCUGGAUGUCUGCCUAAGAUCUCAUAGCCUCAGAUGCAACAAGACUCUUUCAUUGGAAAAUCUACACUUGUGUGCUGCCAGAAGUAUUAGCAUGGAGGAGUCAAAGGAAGGAAACUUUAUUUGUCCAGCAUAUUUCUUACACAGACAUCCACCUCCUUAUAACCCUCAUGACUCCCUUGUUGCUUGCCUACUCCUACAUUUUCUACAAGACAGUUUUGGGAAGAACUUCAGAGCGUACAGAACUGCUCCACUCGCAGUGAUCUCCAGUCAAGCACCAGCAGUAAAGCCCCCAGGCUCCAUCAACAUUUCCUAAUUAGAAAGGCAUCUGAGGACCCCGAUAUGUUUCUCCAGAGAUGGCCUAUCACCAGUCUAGUCCUCCUGGUAGAAUCUAUAACCUCCUCCUGGCUGUUGGCACAAUGCUGCUGAUGAUCUUAUAAUGUCCUUUCUCUCACAAUGGGUGUUUGCACAAUAAGACUGUUACUGGUGUGUAAGUUCUUUCCUGACUAAUUUCAAUUCAAUAAAUGUUGACGGAAAUUUCA